AUGUUGCAGAGCAUGUUGGAUUUAGUAAGAAUGCCAAUGUUGAAGAUUGCAGCACCUGAGUUUCGCGUAUGGUCACCCACUACACUACUCGGUCAGGCUCUUACCAGCUUAACUACAGUUGAUCGGACGGGAAACGGUGCUUUCUGGUAG
Maudiozyma saulgeensis is the source of this 150-nucleotide non-coding RNA. Lineage: Eukaryota; Fungi; Ascomycota; Saccharomycetes; Saccharomycetales; Saccharomycetaceae. The record is from the annotation of a GenBank genome assembly.